RNAcentral lists this ribosomal RNA (476 nucleotides) under marine sediment bacterium ISA-7394. RNAcentral describes it as "bacterial SSU rRNA". It matches the Rfam family "Bacterial small subunit ribosomal RNA", at positions 41 to 500 of the family's 1533-position model. The record is from RNAcentral.
GGCGUGCCUAAUACAUGCAAGUCGAGCGAAUCGAUGGGAGCUUGCUCCCUGAUAUUACGGCGGAGGGUGAUAACACGUGGGCAACCUGCCCUAUAAGCACUGGGAUAACUUCGGGAAACCGGAGCUAAUACCGGAUACGUUCUUUUCUCGCAUGAGAGAAGAUGGAAAGACGGUUUACGCUGAUCGCUUAUAGAUGGGCCCGCGGCGCAUUAGCUAGUUGGUGAGGUAAUGGCUCACCAAGGCGACGAUGCGUAGCCGACCUGAGAGGGUGAUCGGCCACACUGGGACUGAGACACGGCCCAGACUCCUACGGGAGGCAGCAGUAGGGAAUCUUCCGCAAUGGACGAAAGUCUGACGGAGCAACGCCGCGUGAACGAAGAAGGCCUUCGGGUCGUAAAGUUCUGUUGUUAGGGAAGAACAAGUACCAGAGUAACUGCUGGUACCUUGACGGUACCUAACCAGAAAGCCACGGCUAA